CCUCAUACUUUAGGAAGGUCCGUAUUCAUGCUGUCUGCAAAAUCCUCUGAAAGUCUGGAGAGUUGGUGUUGAAGUCUGUUUCGCAAGAUAUGCUCAGCUUUCUCUCUUAGAGAGGAGGCCUGGGUCUCCAUGAGUAAAACGCUAACAGCACGUACACUUUUCCCCCUGAUAGAUGCUUCUGGCAGAAAGUUGUACAUCCCGCGUGAUACUUCUUAUUAAACAAAGCUAAAUUUUUGCUGUAAUGGUCUACUGGGGUGAUCAGUUAAUAUGUUUUGAAAUCCAUCUUCCUAAUUUUAUGCUCCCAACUUCUGUUUUCAUGCAUUUCCUUCUAAGCAUUCCAGAAUGCUUAAAUUCAUGCAAAAUGCAUCUCAUGUAGCCCAUAAUACUCCUGCUGUGAGACCAUUAAGGCAAAUCUUUUUUAGCGACUUAGUCAAUUCUGCAGCUAAUAAAUGUUAAUACCGUUGAUAAUUGCAAGGUGGAGAAAGGAACAAGUAUUUACCAUUGCUCAUAAAUCCUGUGUAUUUCCAGGUAGCAACCAGUAGCCAGCUAGCAUAUGUGAAACUUUGGCAAGUUAGCUGCUAACUGCAUGGGUAUGUGUGGAUUAUGCUCUUGUAGUGUUUGGGGUUUGUUUGUUUGUUUUCUGUUGAGCUGGUAUCUGGAUGGGUAGAGGCAGAUACUUGGAUUUCAGUUGUCAAAAUUCAGCUAUUGACGUUCUGCAGAUAAAGUGGGUUGAAUGGGUUGGAGAGAGGGGAGCAGUGGCAUUUUUUCUAGAGAAGGAACAGGGACUUGAGAUAGGAGAGAAUCCUUUGUUUCUCACUUUCCGGAAGUAUCUUCAAAGUGCAGAGAAAGCAGGUUGUGUUUACUGUGGAAUCUUCUUGGAGCUGAAGGAAAUAGUAGCAUCUUUUUUUCCCUACUCAAGACGAUGUGAGACAGUGAAAUAGCACUUAGCAAAGGGGAGCCAAAACUCUAGGAUAGAGUCCUCCUCACAGAUGAGUGAAUGCUGCAGCAGGGCUUUGUUGGUGAGUGCCGUAGUGGAUAUAUUGGGCAUCUGCUUGGUAGCUGCUGUGUGCUUUUAAAGAGCUAAGAAGUGAACGUGCUCAUACGCUGGCACUUGGCGGAAGGGACUGCUUAAGCACUGGAGGAAGCUUGCGUUAACCUCGGGACCUAACGAGGCGAACCUUGGAGAGCUCCUGAAGCAAACCCAGCGCUUGAUCGAGCUUUAAAGCCUCUAGAGUGAGGCUCAGCCCAUGCUGGGAAGGCUCAGUCUCUGCUAUGCAUCAGAUUAAAAAGAAGCUUCGCUCAUCAUCUUAGAGUCAGCUGAGCUUCCUGACCCUAACGGUGCAGAUGAGUAGCUGUGUGUGGAAAAUGAAAGGGAAAGGUGUCUCCAACCUGAACUGUGCAAGCAGGGAACACAGAUGCACAGGCCAUGAACAAAUGCUUCCCUUGCCCCUCUGCUCUGUGGCACAUGCGUGAACCACACUCCAUCCGUGACACCAGGUGUUAGGAGGAAGCCGUCACCAUGAGCACCAUAGUGCUGAGGGUGGUGCAUCUGUUUUUGCGAAGUGCUUCAGGACAUGCUUAACUUUGAGCCUACACUCUUGCUGCCGAUCCAGAAGUGCCUCUGCCUCAAAAGGUGUUUGCUACGUGGCUUUUUCUCAUUUUAAUAUGAUGAGCCAAAUGUUUCCUUUGAAUGAUCCUCAUGAAUAUCACAGCCUGAGUCCUGCCAAAAGCCAAAACUGUUGCGUAUUCUGAUUGUAGCUCAGUAUAGGUGCACACUCAGCAUCACGCACAGUAACAAAAAUGCUUCCUUCCUUCCCCAGAAAUUCUUCGUCUUUUAAGCUCACACAAAGUCCAUCCAGCUUCCUGGAGUUUAAUUUGUGGACGAGCAGACUGUCCACAUUUUAAUAUAUGAUAAUCUCAGCACCCUAUGAAAUAUUUACAUGGAAUGGUGCUUUAUGCAGUCCAACUGUUGGACUGACCUUUACAAUGAGCCCUCCAAGAGUGUUAUAUUGUCUACUCUUUUCCAGUUUAGAGAAGCGGCAAUUGCAUGACGUCUAUGAUUUUGAUAACAGAAGAGUAUAACAGCAUGCACUAAAUGUGUGCCAUUUUGUGGGCAUACAUUGCAGCAUGCUGUUACAGCAUGCAAAUAUAUGCCAGCUCCACCACGAAUGGUGUUGUCUCUUACAUCCUACUGGUAUCUUUUCAAAAUCCUGAAGUCAAAUGUCCUUGGAAAUUGUAAACUUGUGUGUGCUACAGCAGGCACAUGUAAGCAGAGCUUAAGAGUGUCUGCUUCCUGGCCAAAGGAAAGUGCACACAAAACCUGGCAGUCUCCUUGGGAGGUGGUAGCCCAAUUUCCACACACAGGCAAUCCUUUCCUCACUCAGUUAGCGUGGGUGGUGAACAUGCUAGUGUGUUCUGAGCAGGGGAUGGGGACAACCAAAUUCACUUCAUGGAGAAAACCAAGAAGUCCCUUCAGAUAGCAAAUAAGUUCUCAAGGAUACAGUCUGGCUUUUGGCUUUGAUUCAGUAGAAGUAAGACCACCAUACACUUCUGUUCCCCUUUUACGUCCUGUCCUGCAAGAUCUUCGACACGUGUCCACGGUUUUAAAAUCUAUACUAGAAGAUGAAGAGCAGAGAUGAACUCAGACUCAUCAAUAGGACUCAGCAGUGGGGACUGGUGUCCCCAGGGGCCAUAGGGUGGGAAGGAAUCUGGGAUAGGGAUGCUAAGGGAGAGAAGAGAAGUGGGAGUUUGGGGGCAGAAGCUGAGAAGAUGGGCUCUGGAUCAAGAGGAUAUGGGAGCUGGGAGACUAGGGAUGGAAGAGGUGAGGGAAAAAGUUGAAAGAUUUGAGCUCUGGGGCAAGAAAGAUGAGAGCCUGUUCCUGUGGGGUGGUGUAGCGUGUGGACAUAGGCUGCUGAAGGCCUCUGCAGGUCCUGGAGUAAUCCCAUGAGGAACGGGGGUAACCAAAGGUAACACACUCCCCAACUACCAUUUCUGAUCGGGGCUCAGUUUGGAGAGGCAGAUGUACAUGCAGAGUUUUCCCUUUUUACCACCUUUUCUCUCUAGUCCAGGAUUAGGGGUACCUUCCUCCUCUGUCUUCCUUUUCAUGUCAAAAACACUGUAACCUUAAGGAGGCACAGGAACUAGCCAGUCCUUCCUGAUCAAAACACAGCUGUGUUAUUGACUGUACUUCUUUGUCUCCUUCCCAGUAACAUCUGCA
Non-coding RNA from Struthio camelus australis, 3217 nucleotides. The record is from RefSeq and is a predicted model, not a curated record. Lineage: Eukaryota; Metazoa; Chordata; Aves; Struthioniformes; Struthionidae.